CCCGCCUGUUCAUCAACACAAUUUUAUGUGGAAAGUGGGCCUUCUUAAUGAAUUAAGAGUUUUGCCACCCGACCCGCCCAUCCAAGAUACUUCUUCCUCAAAUACGAUUUCCUCGUCCACUACGACUGAACCCUAAUCGCAGACACAAACCGACCGUGACAAAAUAUAGAGUGUAAAUCUCAGUUUAUUACAAGUUUAUUGGUUUUCAACAUUUAGUACAUGAAGUUUUUUUCGUUCUAGAGUCAUGUUUAAAGUGUUAAUUUUGGAACAGUCUCAUACAUCCGUUAGUCUGGCUAUUAAGUUUCCCAUUAACUAGUGACGUGGCGCCCAUGUGGACAAUGAUUGGACGUCAUGUGUCAUUAAAUGGUGCACGUGGAAAUUAAAAAUUCAAAAAAAAAUUCUCGUCCAAAUUUAAAAUAUUUAAAUAAAUAAUUAAAUAAAAGUAUUUGUAAAAAAAAAAAAAAAAAAAAAAAAAAACCCUGAACCCCCUUCUUCUUUCCCACCCGACACCCCUCCAUCCCCUCCACCCUUCCACGGCUCCACCCUUUUAUCCCCUCUACCCCUCACCCAUCGACACCCUUACCAUCAAGCACACAUCUAGACGGGUCAAAUACCCCAAAGCAAGCAGUUUUUGGAUUUUGUUUCACAUUGAAUUCACCAAAACCCUUUUUCUGGCUUUCCCAAAAUUUUAUAACAUUAUAGUCUAUAAUCUGUGCAAUAAUUCCUCAAGAUCCACAAUUCAAGGCACAAACUUUUGUCUGCUGGCUCUUUUCUUUUACUCUACCUGUGUGGAGAGGAACAAAAGCAAAGACAUGGAGGUGGGGGCAGAUGCAAAGAUAGUGGGUUGACUACACAAAAUCCUUGUUCCUGGAGGGUAAAAGCAAUAGAAAAAAAUAUGAAAUUUAAGCAUAAAUCACAGAUGGGGUUGUUUUGAUUUUGUUGUUUUUGCUUGUUUUGUUCCUGAUGUUUUUGUUUUUGGGAUUUUUUUCAUUGGUUGGGUGAAAGAAUGAGUUUCUGGAUGGUUAGUUUUUGCAGCUCCAACAACUGUAGGAUGAGAGCAACCCAAAUUUUGUUGUUGAAGUGGUGUCUCUUUUCUUUGAAGAUCCUGAGAAGCUUCUCAAUGAUCUCACCAGAGCUUUAAAUUUAGAGAUGGAUGAAUAUGAAUUUUCUAAAUUUUAUUCCAGUACAAGGCCUGGCGAUUUUAUAAUUUAUUGGCGUGACUGGAUUUCCAGGAAAAAACUUUUCUCAGUCAGCAGACCAAAAGACGAGCCAUCUUGUUUUGGAACAUUUUUCCUGACAAUUUCUUCUUCUUCUCCUAUUGGUUGCGGAACUUUUUAUUCAGUCAUUUGAAGAUCGGAGCUCUAACUUUUGCUCAUUUAAAAUUGUUCAGCAACUGCAAGUGCUUAAUAUAUUAAGUCGAUGCAGCAAUCAAUUUCACGCUUAUUAGGGUUUGUGGGUAUAUAAAGAUAUACAGAUAGAUGAAUACUUCUUAGAA
This is a long non-coding RNA of Pyrus x bretschneideri (Chinese white pear), 1495 nucleotides long. RefSeq lists it as uncharacterized. The record is from RefSeq and is a predicted model, not a curated record. NCBI's taxonomy places the organism in Eukaryota, Viridiplantae, Streptophyta, Magnoliopsida, Rosales, Rosaceae. The transcript has 3 exons.